AUACCUUUCUCGGCCUUUUGGCUAAGAUCAAGUGUAGUAUCUGUUCUUAUCAGUUUAAUAUCUGAUAUGUGGGCCAUGCGUCCACUUCGAUAUUAAAUUUAUUUUUUGUGGGGGAGGGCUCACCACAGUGGCUUGCCACUGGGGCCCUCGAGCGUCGCCCAGCCGUUGCACUGCUGGCAGGGCCUGGCGCACCCCAA
This 197-nucleotide small nuclear RNA is filed under the name Dichanthelium oligosanthes. RNAcentral's name for it is "U2 spliceosomal RNA". It matches the Rfam family "U2 spliceosomal RNA". From Rfam's summary of the family: U2 is a small nuclear RNA (snRNA) component of the spliceosome (involved in pre-mRNA splicing). Complementary binding between U2 snRNA (in an area lying towards the 5' end but 3' to hairpin I) and the branchpoint sequence (BPS) of the intron results the bulging out of an unpaired adenosine, on the BPS, which initiates a nucleophilic attack at the intronic 5' splice site, thus starting the first of two transesterification reactions that mediate splicing. Lineage: Eukaryota; Viridiplantae; Streptophyta; Magnoliopsida; Poales; Poaceae. The record is from Rfam by way of RNAcentral.